UGUGGGGGGGUCACCCUGGCAUGUCAAGCGGUACAUUUCUACCUUGCUAAAAAAUGACAAGCGGCGGACCGGUUAGAAAUGGAGGGGAAUAUGCCUUAGGGUGGGGGACAACAGCUGGCAACGACUGCUAAUACCGCAUAACGUCUACGGACCAAAGGGGGCUUCGGCUCUCGCCCUUAGAUUAGCCCAAGUGGGAUUACCUAGUUGGUGAGGUAAUGGCUCACCAAGGCGACGAUCCCUAGCUGGUUUGAGAGGAUGAUCAGCCACACUGGAACUGAGACACGGUCCAAACUCCUACGGGAGGCAGCAAUGGGGAAUAUUGCACAAUGGGCGCAAGCCUGAUGCAGCCAUGCCGCGUGUGUGAAGAAGGCCUUAGGGUUGUAAAGCACUUUCAGUAAGGAGGAAAGGUUAGUAGUUAAUACCUGCUAGCUGUGACGUUACUUACAGAAAAAGCACCGGCUAACUCCGUGCCACAGCCGCGUUAAUACGGAGGGUGCGAGCGGUUAAUUGGAAUUACUGGGCGUAAAGCGUACGCAGGCGGUUUGUUAAGCGAGAUGUG
RNAcentral lists this ribosomal RNA (559 nucleotides) under uncultured bacterium. Its description in RNAcentral is "bacterial SSU rRNA". It matches the Rfam family "Bacterial small subunit ribosomal RNA", at positions 38 to 596 of the family's 1533-position model. The record is from RNAcentral.